RNAcentral lists this transfer RNA (72 nucleotides) under Pangasianodon gigas (Mekong giant catfish). RNAcentral describes it as "tRNA-Glu". It matches the Rfam family "tRNA". From Rfam's summary of the family: Transfer RNA (tRNA) molecules are approximately 80 nucleotides in length. The record is from RNAcentral. Lineage: Eukaryota; Metazoa; Chordata; Actinopteri; Siluriformes; Pangasiidae.
UCCCUGGAGGCCUAGUGGUUAGGCCAUGGUGCUCUCACUGCUGCGGCCCAGGUUCGCUUCCUGGCCAGGGAA